CCUGGUGCCUAUGGCGGUCUGGAACCACGCCGAUUCCAUCCCGAACUCGGUUGUGAAACAGGUCUGCGGCGAAGAUACUUUGGGGGUUGCCCCAUGGGAAAUUAGCUCGGUGCCAGGU
Molecule: non-coding RNA, 118 nt
Organism: Lyngbya confervoides
Lineage: Bacteria; Bacillati; Cyanobacteriota; Cyanophyceae; Oscillatoriales; Microcoleaceae
Source: Rfam